CUACAAUGGCGACACCCUCCCUCACCCUCUGCCGCAAGCUCUUCCUCCACUGGUCCGUAAUCACACCAAUAACACCAACAGGGAAGCUGACAGGUGGAGGGCUGUCGGGGUUGCCCACGGCUGGACUGGGGAGGAUCCAGAUGUAGCCAGGCCCCAGCAGACCCACCUCAGCUGCGUGAUGAAACAAGUACUGCGCUUCCUCAUAGGAGCAAUACGCCAGCAGGACUUGAGAGUCCACCUGCAGACGGAAGUCUUUCAGUGACAAUCUGCUGCUCCAGAGACGCUCCCAUCUGCAAGAAGGAGGAUCCCUCAGCCUGUAAGGAGUGGGAGAAUCUGAUUUAAGGAUUCAGGACCAGGAGGAGGAGGCGCCUCCUUGCCCUGCUUGCUGAGUUUGCUCAUGACCUGUGUGAUGUCAACAUUGGCGGCCAUCUUGGCCCUCUGCUCCUGCUCCUGCUGCCGUAGGAUGAUGGGGCUGAGACUGGGCCGUCUGUUCUUUGCAUUCUGCUCCAACUGGGAAUCACUGAGAGACCACAAAAAGAGAGGAAGGAUGGAGAAAAGAGAGAGUGUGUGGAAAAAGAAGACAGAUGACAAAGAGGGAAGCGAAGGAUAGUGAGAUGGAGCAGCAAAGAGAAGAGAAUGGAAAGACAAGGUGAAAAUUAAGUUUUAGGAAGCUACAGGGACACUAAUAUCAGCCAGAAUGAUGACAUAAACUUAGAUUCUUCAGACCAAUGUCACUCCUAGGUCAUCCUUUGCAGUGAAUAGUCAGUGCUUUCUUUUCCUCUAUGAUGUGUCAUUUCUGAUUGUG
Long non-coding RNA from Micropterus dolomieu (smallmouth bass), 805 nucleotides. RefSeq lists it as uncharacterized. The record is from RefSeq and is a predicted model, not a curated record. NCBI's taxonomy places the organism in Eukaryota, Metazoa, Chordata, Actinopteri, Centrarchiformes, Centrarchidae. The transcript has 3 exons.